CAAGAAAUUAAGGGCUUAUGGUGGAUACCUUGGCAUUCAGAAGCGAUGAAGGACGCGGUUACCUGCGAUAAGCUUCGGGGAGCUGGAAACAAGCUUUGAUCCGGAGGUUUCCGAAUGAGGCAACUCCUAGAACUUCUUAUUGAAUAUAUAGGUAAGAAAGAGCAAACCCAGAGAAUUGAAACAUCUUAGUAUCUGGAGGAAAAGAAAGUAAAAACGAUUCCCUGAGUAGCGGCGAGCGAAACGGGAAAAGCCCAGCACUUAGCCCAUUGGUUUCUAAACGACCAAUUGGGGAUGCAGUGUAUGGAGUGUCCGUUAACUUGUUACAAUAGAUGAUGUACGUUCAAGUCCAUCUUGAAUGGGGCUAUUAACCCAUAGAGGGUGCCAGGCCCGUGGAACUACCAUCUGUAGCUUGUGGAUUACUCUUAAGAGUCGUGUUGCUUGAUAGUGCAGCACUAAGUGGGUGGUAAACUCCAUCUAAGGCUAAAUAUGACCACGAGACCGAUAGCGAACAAGUACCGUGAGGGAAAGAUGAAAAGAACUUUGAA
Molecule: ribosomal RNA, 545 nt
Filed under: Pseudopedinella elastica
Lineage: Eukaryota; Dictyochophyceae; Pedinellales
Description: partial Bacterial large subunit ribosomal RNA
Rfam family: Bacterial large subunit ribosomal RNA
Source: RNAcentral